Molecule: ribosomal RNA, 492 nt
Filed under: uncultured bacterium
Lineage: Bacteria
Description: partial 16S ribosomal RNA
Rfam family: Bacterial small subunit ribosomal RNA
Source: RNAcentral
AGUGAACGCUGGCGGUAGGCCUAACACAUGCAAGUCGAACGGCAGCACAGUAAGAGCUUGCUCUUACGGGUAGCGAGUGGCGGACGGGUGACACAUACAUAGGCAUCUACUUUUUCUUGGAGGAUAACGUAGAACAACUUCCACUAACACCGCAUACGACCUACGGGUUAAAGCAAUAGUUCUUCGCGCCUUUCGCGUUUGAAAGGGCCGAUUCCGGAUUAGCUAGUUGGCAGGGUAAAGGCCCACCAUGGCGACGAUCCGUAGCCGGCCUGAGAGGAUGAUCAGCCACACUGGAACUGAGACACGGUCCAGACUCCUACGGGAGGCAGCAGUGGGGAAUAUUGCACAAUGGGCGAAAGCCUGAUCCAGCCAUACCGCGUGGGUGAAGAAGGCCUUCGGGUUGUAAAGCCCUUUUGUUGGGAAAGAAAAGCAGCAGGUUAAUACCCCGAUGUUCUGACGGUACCCAAAGAAUAAGCACCGGCUAACUUCGUG